GGCCUGCAACUCUAAACUUUUACUAAACUCUACUAAUAGUACACGACUAGUAUUUGUAGUAUUUUUAGUAUUUACCAAUCAAAGCAACGUUGCCAACGACGGUUGUCAAGCGUACUUUGUUAUUUAGUUUUAUCACGUCAGCUCGUUCAACCACAGUAAACGCAAAAAUCAGGUUUCAGACAAGGUUCCAGGCUAGGAUUUGAAGAUGCGAAAAGGACGAAAAAUACCAGGGCCUUGAUCUAGAUGAACAGCGGAUCAGCGGAUUGAUAUUGGGCAAAUGCAUCUGAGUUUGAGCCAAGGAUUGAACCCCCGUGCGAAUUUUUGCACACUAACCCAACAAAAUCACAACAAUAAUGGCGUAUUUGUUCGAACCGUUUAACUACUACUAUUGAACCAAGCGAAGAACCUAGUUCAAAUUUCCGGUUUCCAAUAGAGAAAUCAAUAAAAUGCUACAAAUAAAUUGACAUGUGUUAAUGUA
Long non-coding RNA from Aedes albopictus (Asian tiger mosquito), 478 nucleotides. RefSeq lists it as uncharacterized. The transcript has 2 exons. The record is from RefSeq and is a predicted model, not a curated record. Lineage: Eukaryota; Metazoa; Arthropoda; Insecta; Diptera; Culicidae.